Molecule: ribosomal RNA, 186 nt
Filed under: Lucilia sericata (common green bottle fly)
Lineage: Eukaryota; Metazoa; Arthropoda; Insecta; Diptera; Calliphoridae
Description: partial large subunit ribosomal RNA
Source: RNAcentral
UAGAAUUUUAUUUUUUAGUCAAAAAGCUAAAAUUUAUUUAAAAGACGAGAAGACCCUAUAAAUCUUUAUAUUUAUAUUAUUAUAAUUUUUUAGAUUCUUUUUAUUAUAAUAAUAGAUUAUAUUUUAUUGGGGUGAUAUUAAAAUUUAAUAAACUUUUAAUUGUUUAAAUCAUUAAUUUAUGAAUAA